This 728-nucleotide ribosomal RNA is filed under the name Colopsus cancellatus. Its description in RNAcentral is "partial large subunit ribosomal RNA". The record is from RNAcentral. Lineage: Eukaryota; Metazoa; Arthropoda; Arachnida; Araneae; Salticidae.
GGGUGGGCCCUAGAAAUCCUGUGGCGUGAGGAUUCAGUCUGGCGCGAUAGACCCGCGUCGGGAAGACUCGGGUAGGGCUUCCCGUGACUGGGGCCGUCUCGAUGCGGGGCUUCUGUCGCUCCAGACGCAUUUGUCUCUCGUCCGAAGGACGCUGCAGCCGGUUUGGAAGUGCAAGCGCGGCGGCCUGAAGGUCGGGUAAUGGCAGGUGGCCGGCGGCUCGCCUCGUGCGGGUUGUCGGUUGUUAGCCGUCCCGUCAGUGGCUCGUCUCCAGACCGAGGUGUCGCGAGUCCCGUCAGGGACUCUUCGUCUCCACCCCACGGUUGCGGGACUGGUCGUGGCAAGGGCUCCGUAUUCCCACCGUCGCACUACUAAGGAGUGGGCGGAGGGCUGCGGGUCCCCGUUGGCUGCGACGGACUCGUCGGGGGCUCGAGGCUGGCAGCGAGUAGGUCGGUCACCCACCCGACCCGUCWUGAAAMACGGACCAAGGAGUCUAACAUGUGCGCGAGUCAAUGGGUCUUGUACUAGGCCCAGGGGCGCAAUGAAAGCGAAGGAUUGCCUAGCGCAGUCUGAGUGGGGAUCCCUCUCCUUCGGGAGGGGGCGCACCCACGACCCGUCCUAUCCGGCUCGCCGGUUGGGCGGAGUCUGAGCGUACACGUUGGGACCCGAAAGAUGGUGAACUAUGCCCGGACAGGACGAGGCCAGAGGAAACUCUGGUGGAGGUCCGCAGC